UACAGAGGUCCCGAGCGUUGUUCGGAUUCACUGGGCGUAAAGGGUGCGUAGGCGGUUCUGCAAGUCUGAUGUGAAAUCUCCAGGCCCAACCUGGAAACUGCAUUAGAAACUACAGGGCUAGAGGCUUGGAGGGGGAACUGGAAUUCUCGGUGUAGCAGUGAAAUGCGUAGAGAUCGAGAGGAACACCAGUGGCGAAGGCGAGUUCCUGGACAAGUCCUGACGCUGAGGCACGAAAGCCAGGGGAGCAAACAGG
This 253-nucleotide ribosomal RNA is filed under the name uncultured bacterium. Its description in RNAcentral is "partial 16S ribosomal RNA". It matches the Rfam family "Bacterial small subunit ribosomal RNA", at positions 524 to 776 of the family's 1533-position model. The record is from RNAcentral.